RNAcentral lists this long non-coding RNA (231 nucleotides) under Carica papaya (papaya). RNAcentral describes it as "long non-coding RNA (CPAP_LNC016259)". Lineage: Eukaryota; Viridiplantae; Streptophyta; Magnoliopsida; Brassicales; Caricaceae. The record is from RNAcentral.
CGGUAAGCUUCGUUUUUUCGUAAUUGUUUGGCCCCCCGAGGGCCCUAGGGUUGUUUUAUCGCAGGGACCGAUGCAAGUGUUGUCGAAUUCGGCCGAAAACGGCCAACCCGAGGUGAAUCGCCGUCGCCGGAAUUGCGAUAUUGGCCGAAAGGGGCCCUGGGUCUAAUUUGGGAUUUUUCGGUACACGAGCAGGUACCACUAGUGCGUUUCAGUUCCCCGAAAAAAAUUCAG